GGGGAUAUAGCUCAGUUGAUAGAGUGCUUGCCUCGCAUGCAUGCACAAAGCCCUGGGUUCAAACCCCAGCACCA
RNAcentral lists this transfer RNA (74 nucleotides) under Ictidomys tridecemlineatus (thirteen-lined ground squirrel). Its description in RNAcentral is "Spermophilus tridecemlineatus (thirteen-lined ground squirrel) tRNA". It matches the Rfam family "tRNA". Rfam says of the family: Transfer RNA (tRNA) molecules are approximately 80 nucleotides in length. Lineage: Eukaryota; Metazoa; Chordata; Mammalia; Rodentia; Sciuridae. The record is from Rfam by way of RNAcentral.